UAUGUCACACAUCCAGCUCUGACAGCUCUUAAACAGCCUUUAGUUAACAACACACUAAGCAAAGAUGCAUACCGUUAGGAGACCCGAACACAACGCCACUUCUCUGAAGCCCUCUGCUUUAUGUAACGUUCUGGUGUCCUUCUGUUCUCAAAGCCUGAUCUAGCCUACUUCAAUCCGGUGCGUAUGCAAAGAAGUUCUAUAAAGGAGCUCGUGCUGUUGCACGCGGUACUGGAGACGAUGGGCAGCGUGACUGUGAGGAGUGUCGAAGGGAUCCCCCCGGAG
Long non-coding RNA from Electrophorus electricus (electric eel), 282 nucleotides. RefSeq lists it as uncharacterized. The record is from RefSeq and is a predicted model, not a curated record. NCBI's taxonomy places the organism in Eukaryota, Metazoa, Chordata, Actinopteri, Gymnotiformes, Gymnotidae.